UACCAGCUCUCCGAGUGGUGUGGAUGUUUAUUGGGCCUAAAGCAUCCGUAGCUGGCUGGGCAAGUCCCCUGUUAAAUCCACCGAUUUAAUCGUUGGUGUGCGGGGGAUACUGUUCGGCUAGGGGACGGGAGAGGCCGACGGUAUUUUCGGGGUAGGGGUGAAAUCCUAUAAUCCCGGGAAGACCACCAGUGGCGAAGGCUGUCGGCUAGAACGCGCCCGACGGUGAGGGAUGAAAGCUAGGGGAGCGAACCGGAUUAGAUACCCGGGUAGUCCCAGCUGUAAACGAUGCAGGCUAGGUGUUUGGGCGGCCACGUGCCGCUCUAGUGCCGCAGAGAAGUCGUUAAGCCUGCCGCCUGGGGAGUACGGCCGCAAGGCUGAAACUUAAAGGAAUUGGCGGGGGAGCACCACAAGGGGUGAAGCUUGCGGUUU
Molecule: ribosomal RNA, 429 nt
Filed under: uncultured archaeon
Lineage: Archaea
Description: bacterial SSU rRNA
Rfam family: Archaeal small subunit ribosomal RNA
Source: RNAcentral